UACGGAGGGUGCAAGCGUUAUCCGGAUUCACUGGGUUUAAAGGGUGCGUAGGCGGGCAGGUAAGUCAGUGGUGAAAUCUCCGGGCUUAACCCGGAAACUGCCGUUGAUACUAUCUGUCUUGAAUAUCGUGGAGGUAAGCGGAAUAUGUCAUGUAGCGGUGAAAUGCUUAGAUAUGACAUGGAACACCCAUUGCGAAGGCAGCUUACUACACGAUCAUUGACGCUGAGGCACGAAAGCGUGGGGAGCAAACAGG
This 253-nucleotide ribosomal RNA is filed under the name uncultured bacterium. Its description in RNAcentral is "partial 16S ribosomal RNA". It matches the Rfam family "Bacterial small subunit ribosomal RNA", at positions 524 to 776 of the family's 1533-position model. The record is from RNAcentral.